Molecule: unclassified non-coding RNA, 21 nt
Filed under: Mus musculus (house mouse)
Lineage: Eukaryota; Metazoa; Chordata; Mammalia; Rodentia; Muridae
Description: oocyte_clustered_small_RNA4856
Source: RNAcentral
UUCAGGGAACCUCGCACCAGC